This 604-nucleotide ribosomal RNA is filed under the name Halioglobus japonicus. RNAcentral's name for it is "bacterial SSU rRNA". It matches the Rfam family "Bacterial small subunit ribosomal RNA", at positions 64 to 666 of the family's 1533-position model. Lineage: Bacteria; Pseudomonadati; Pseudomonadota; Gammaproteobacteria; Cellvibrionales; Halieaceae. The record is from RNAcentral.
GGACGUGAAAGCCCUUCGGGGUGAGUAGAGUGGCGGACGGGUGAGUAACGCGUAGGAAUCUACCCAGUAGUGGGGGACAACAGUCGGAAACGGCUGCUAAUACCGCAUACGCCCUACGGGGGAAAGCGGGGGACCUUCGGGCCUCGCGCUAUUGGAUGAGCCUGCGUAAGAUUAGCUAGUUGGUGGGGUAAAGGCCUACCAAGGCGACGAUCUUUAGCUGGUCUGAGAGGAUGAUCAGCCACACUGGGACUGAGACACGGCCCAGACUCCUACGGGAGGCAGCAGUGGGGAAUAUUGCACAAUGGGCGCAAGCCUGAUGCAGCCAUGCCGCGUGUGUGAAGAAGGCCUUAGGGUUGUAAAGCACUUUCAAUUGGGAAGAAAAGCUUGUCGUUAAUAGCGGCAAGCCCUGACAUUACCUUUAGAAGAAGCACCGGCUAACUCCGUGCCAGCAGCCGCGGUAAUACGGAGGGUGCGAGCGUUAAUCGGAAUUACUGGGCGUAAAGCGCGCGUAGGCGGUUGCUUUAGUCGGAUGUGAAAGCCCCGGGCUUAACCUGGGAACUGCAUCCGAUACUGGGCAACUAGAGUACGAGAGAGGGGGGUAGAA